RNAcentral lists this ribosomal RNA (253 nucleotides) under uncultured bacterium. RNAcentral describes it as "partial 16S ribosomal RNA". It matches the Rfam family "Bacterial small subunit ribosomal RNA", at positions 524 to 776 of the family's 1533-position model. The record is from RNAcentral.
UACAGAGGUCUCAAGCGUUGUUCGGAUUCAUUGGGCGUAAAGGGUGCGUAGGUGGCGGGGUUAGUCAGGUGUGAAAUCUCGGGGCUCAACCCCGAAACUGCACUUGAUACUGCCUUGCUAGAGUACUGGAGAGGAGAUUGGAAUUUACGGUGUAGCAGUGAAAUGCGUAGAUAUCGUAAGGAAGACCAGUGGCGAAGGCGAAUCUCUGGACAGUUACUGACACUGAGGCACGAAGGCCAGGGGAGCAAGCGGG